Non-coding RNA from Hordeum vulgare subsp. vulgare (domesticated barley), 136 nucleotides. Lineage: Eukaryota; Viridiplantae; Streptophyta; Magnoliopsida; Poales; Poaceae. The record is from Rfam.
UACAUACUUCCUUCGUUUUAAAAUUUUUAUCUUACGUUUGUCUAGAAAUUGAUGUAUCUAAAUACUAGCACAUGACUAGAUAUAUUCAUAUCUAAAUAAAUCAAAGACAAAAAAUUUAGAACGGAGGGAGUACAAG